RNAcentral lists this unclassified non-coding RNA (345 nucleotides) under soil metagenome. RNAcentral's name for it is "partial contains 5.8S ribosomal RNA, internal transcribed spacer 2, and large subunit ribosomal RNA". The stretch from base 1 to 119 matches the Rfam family "5.8S ribosomal RNA", at positions 35 to 154 of the family's 154-position model. The record is from RNAcentral.
GAUGAAGAACGCAGCGAAAUGCGAUACGUAAUGUGAAUUGCAAAUUCAGUGAAUCAUCGAGUCUUUGAACGCACAUUGCGCCCCCUGGUAUUCCGGGGGGCAUGCCUGUCCAAGCGUCAUUGCUGCCCUCAAGCACGGCUUGUGUGUUGGGCCCCGUCCUCCGAUCCCGGGGGACGGGCCCGAAAGGCAGCGGCGGCACCGCGUCCGGUCCUCGAGCGUAUGGGGCUUUGUCACCCGCUCUGUAGGCCCGGCCGGCGCUUGCCGAUCAACCCAAAUUUUUAUCCAGGUUGACCUCGGAUCAGGUAGGGAUACCCGCUGAACUUAAGCAUAUCAAUAAGCGGAGGA